This 100-nucleotide microRNA precursor is filed under the name Trypanosoma vivax Y486. The record is from RNAcentral. Lineage: Eukaryota; Euglenozoa; Kinetoplastea; Trypanosomatida; Trypanosomatidae.
GAGGCAGUUUGGCUCUCGUUCUCUCACCUCUCUCUCUCCUGCACACAUAUACACACACACACACACACAGAGAGAGAGAGAGAGAGAGAGAGAGAGAGGU